RNAcentral lists this ribosomal RNA (899 nucleotides) under Bacillus sp. 155B7_12AR2A. Its description in RNAcentral is "bacterial SSU rRNA". It matches the Rfam family "Bacterial small subunit ribosomal RNA", at positions 53 to 933 of the family's 1533-position model. Lineage: Bacteria; Bacillati; Bacillota; Bacilli; Caryophanales; Bacillaceae. The record is from RNAcentral.
ACAUGCAAGUCGAGCGGACAGAUGGGAGCUUGCUCCCUGAUGUUAGCGGCGGACGGGUGAGUAACACGUGGGUAACCUGCCUGUAAGACUGGGAUAACUCCGGGAAACCGGGGCUAAUACCGGAUGGUUGUUUGAACCGCAUGGUUCAAACAUAAAAGGUGGCUUCGGCUACCACUUACAGAUGGACCCGCGGCGCAUUAGCUAGUUGGUGAGGUAAUGGCUCACCAAGGCAACGAUGCGUAGCCGACCUGAGAGGGUGAUCGGCCACACUGGGACUGAGACACGGCCCAGACUCCUACGGGAGGCAGCAGUAGGGAAUCUUCCGCAAUGGACGAAAGUCUGACGGAGCAACGCCGCGUGAGUGAUGAAGGUUUUCGGAUCGUAAAGCUCUGUUGUUAGGGAAGAACAAGUACCGUUCGAAUAGGGCGGUACCUUGACGGUACCUAACCAGAAAGCCACGGCUAACUACGUGCCAGCAGCCGCGGUAAUACGUAGGUGGCAAGCGUUGUCCGGAAUUAUUGGGCGUAAAGGGCUCGCAGGCGGUUUCUUAAGUCUGAUGUGAAAGCCCCCGGCUCAACCGGGGAGGGUCAUUGGAAACUGGGGAACUUGAGUGCAGAAGAGGAGAGUGGAAUUCCACGUGUAGCGGUGAAAUGCGUAGAGAUGUGGAGGAACACCAGUGGCGAAGGCGACUCUCUGGUCUGUAACUGACGCUGAGGAGCGAAAGCGUGGGGAGCGAACAGGAUUAGAUACCCUGGUAGUCCACGCCGUAAACGAUGAGUGCUAAGUGUUAGGGGGUUUCCGCCCCUUAGUGCUGCAGCUAACGCAUUAAGCACUCCGCCUGGGGAGUACGGUCGCAAGACUGAAACUCAAAGGAAUUGACGGGGGCCCGCACAAGCGGU